CACAGCACCCAUCACACUAUGGGAGCUGGCCAUGCCCGAAGUCGUUACCUUAACCGUAAGGAGGGGGAUGCCGAAGGCAGGGCUAGUGACUGAAGUGAAGUCGUAACAAGGUAGCCGUACUAGAAGGUGCGGCUG
Gossypium raimondii (Peruvian cotton) is the source of this 135-nucleotide non-coding RNA. NCBI's taxonomy places the organism in Eukaryota, Viridiplantae, Streptophyta, Magnoliopsida, Malvales, Malvaceae. The record is from Rfam.